GUACGGGGACUGGGAACAGUGAGCAUGGUUUUUGCAGCCUCUCCAGACAGUCUUUUCCUGGGUACUGCCAUGAUCAGCUCCAAAGGCUACACGACAGAGGCUGCUGUCCGUCAGGCCAGGAUCAAGCCUGAAGACACGAUCAAUCCUUCAAGAUAAGAGAAUUUUAUCGUGGAAGCAGAGCGAGUGGCAUCUCCCCACUGCACCAGAAAGGCUUCUGGAGUUCACGCACUGCCCUUGGCUCCUCCAGUUGCUAUCAAGUUGAUUUACUUCUGCAUGGAGCAUCUUAGGACCUAAGAAUAGCAAUGAUGAAACCCAGAAAGAAAAGGCAGACUCACAGCAGAGGAAAUUUGGACACAGACACACACAGAGGGAAAAUGAUGUGAAGACACAGGGAGAAGGUGGCCAUCUACAAGCUGAGGAGAGAGGCCUCAGAGAAAACCAACCCUGCCGGCACCUUGAUCUCAGACUUCCAGCCUCCAUUAAUUAAUUUUCUCUCUCUCCAGUGAGAAAAUUGAUUUCUAUUGUGGAAAUUCAUUACCACAGUCUGUGGUACUUUGAGUUAGGGCAGCCCUGGCAAACUAACAUAUCAGUAAAUAAAAAUUUGUUGAAGAAGGAACUCUGUCACACCGGCCUUCUAAAAGGCCUUUAGAAUGUCUUCUUACAAUUGAUAGUGUCUGACCUCAUUAACCUUCUCAUCAACGUCUUCUACAACCUGUCUUCAACCUACUUUUCCAUGUUCCUCUCCCAGGACACAAACCAUCUACACCAGCCACACACCAGACUCUUUACAGACCUCAAUUCAUCCUCUGAUUUGCUGUCUCCAAGGCUUUCUUCAAGAUGUGGCCCCACCUGGAACGGUCACUUCUCCUUCCAAACCCCAAAAACACUUUUGUGCUUGUUAUUUGAUAAUCAUGAUUUGCAAUAUUCUAUUCGUAUUGUUUAUGAGCUUUUCAUGUGCAAGUAUUUCUUCUCUGUAAUGUAAACUUCCUAAUAACAAAAACUACAUUUGAUGCUUCUCUCUGCUCUUCACAGCAUGGAACACACUGUCUGGCUCAACUAAUAUUUGUUGCCUAAAGCAGGCACCAUGAGAAGGAAAAGUAAAUCGCUGCAGCCUGAGAAAAUGUGGUACCCUCAACUGGGUAAAACCAUCGUAGGCAACAUGGCUCAUGGUGCAAGGUUCUUAAAAAGAAGAAACAACAUUGCUUGCUUCAGCAGCACAUAUACUAAAAUUGGAACAAUACAGAGAAGGUUGGCAUGGCCCCUGAGCAAGGAUGACAUGCAAAUUCAUGAAACGUUACAUAGGUUUUUACUAUAGGUAACAAUACAUUAUAUAGUUUCAACUAGCUAGGGGGAGGAUAUUGAAUGUUUCCAAUCCAAAGAAAUGAUCAGUGUUUGAGAGGAUGGAUAUGCUCGCUCAUUACCCUGACCUGAUCACCAUACAUUAAAUGUAUCAAAACAUCACUGUCCACCCAUGAAUAUGUACAAUUAUUUUUUGUCAAUUUUAAAAAAUAAGACACAACAAACUAUAUGCAGCAUAAUCCACAGAAACAAUAAGAGCUCCAAGACUGAUAUGAAGGAAAGGAAGAGCUCCUUGUUUAUCUUGAAACAUAUGAAU
Long non-coding RNA from Homo sapiens (human), 1615 nucleotides. The record is from Ensembl. NCBI's taxonomy places the organism in Eukaryota, Metazoa, Chordata, Mammalia, Primates, Hominidae.